RNAcentral lists this ribosomal RNA (165 nucleotides) under Medeolaria sp. RNAcentral describes it as "partial small subunit ribosomal RNA". It matches the Rfam family "Eukaryotic small subunit ribosomal RNA", at positions 1639 to 1799 of the family's 1831-position model. The record is from RNAcentral. Lineage: Eukaryota; Fungi; Ascomycota; Leotiomycetes; Medeolariales; Medeolariaceae.
CGUUGAUUACGUCCCUGCCCUUUUUACACACCGCCCGUCGCUCCUCCCGAUUGAAUGGUCCGGUGAAGUGUUCGGAUCGCGGGUACGCGGGGGUUUCGCCGCCCGCGACUCUGCGAGAAGUCCAUUGAUCCUUAUCAUUUAGAGGAAGUAAAAGUCGUAACAAGG